CAGCCGCCACGGUAAUACGUAGGUGGCAAGCGUUGUCCGGAAUUAUUGGGCGUAAAGGGCUCGCAGGCGGUUUCUUAAGCCUGAUGUGAAAGCCCCCGGCUCAACCGGGGAGGGUCAUUGGAAACUGGGAAACUUGAGUGCAGAAGAGGAGAGCGGAAUUCCACGUGUAGCGGUGAAAUGCGUAGAGAUGUGGAGGAACACCAGUGGCGAAGGCGACUCUCUGGUCUGUAACUGACGCUGAGGAGCGAAAGCGUGGGGAGCGAACAGGAUUAGAUACCCCCGUAGUCCCUGUCUCUUAUAC
Molecule: ribosomal RNA, 301 nt
Filed under: uncultured bacterium
Lineage: Bacteria
Description: partial 16S ribosomal RNA
Rfam family: Bacterial small subunit ribosomal RNA
Source: RNAcentral